This 253-nucleotide ribosomal RNA is filed under the name uncultured bacterium. Its description in RNAcentral is "partial 16S ribosomal RNA". It matches the Rfam family "Bacterial small subunit ribosomal RNA", at positions 524 to 776 of the family's 1533-position model. The record is from RNAcentral.
GACGGAAGGUGCAAGCGUUGCUCGGAAUCACUGGGCGUAAAGGGCGCGUAGGCGGCUACGCACGUCCGUUGUGAAAUCGCUCGGCUCAACUGGGCGGGGUCAGCGGAUACGGCGUAGCUGGAGCAAGCUAGGGGGCAAUGGAAUUCCCGGUGUAGUGGUGGAAUGCGUAGAUAUCGGGAGGAACACCAGUGGCGAAGGCGGUUGCCUGGAGCUUUGCUGACGCUGAUGCGCGAAAGCGUGGGGAGCGAUCCGG